This 72-nucleotide transfer RNA is filed under the name Apaloderma vittatum (bar-tailed trogon). It matches the Rfam family "tRNA". From Rfam's summary of the family: Transfer RNA (tRNA) molecules are approximately 80 nucleotides in length. Their secondary structure includes four short double-helical elements and three loops (D, anti-codon, and T loops). Further hydrogen bonds mediate the characteristic L-shaped molecular structure. tRNAs have two regions of fundamental functional importance: the anti-codon, which is responsible for specific mRNA codon recognition, and the 3' end, to which the tRNAs corresponding amino acid is attached (by aminoacyl-tRNA synthetases). tRNAs cope with the degeneracy of the genetic code in two manners: having more than one tRNA (with a specific anti-codon) for a particular amino acid; and 'wobble' base-pairing, i.e. permitting non-standard base-pairing at the 3rd anti-codon position. Lineage: Eukaryota; Metazoa; Chordata; Aves; Trogoniformes; Trogonidae. The record is from Rfam by way of RNAcentral.
GGCCGAUUAGCUCAUUCGAUUGAGUGUGGUGCUGAUAACACCAAGGUCGUGGGUUCAAACCCCGUUCGGUCC